RNAcentral lists this unclassified non-coding RNA (336 nucleotides) under soil metagenome. RNAcentral's name for it is "partial contains 5.8S ribosomal RNA, internal transcribed spacer 2, and large subunit ribosomal RNA". The stretch from base 1 to 120 matches the Rfam family "5.8S ribosomal RNA", at positions 35 to 154 of the family's 154-position model. The record is from RNAcentral.
GAUGAAGAACGUAGCGAAAUGCGAUAAGUAAUGUGAAUUGCAGAAUUCAGUGAAUCAUCGAAUCUUUGAACGCACAUUGCGCCCGCUAGUACUCUAGCGGGCAUGCCUGUUCGAGCGUCAUUUCAACCCUCAAGCCCUGCUUGGUGUUGGGGCCCUACGGCUGCCGUAGGCCCUGAAAGGAAGUGGCGGGCUCGCUACAACUCCGAGCGUAGUAAUUCAUUAUCUCGCUUAGGGUGUUGUGCGGUGCUCCAGCCGUUAAAGACCAUCUUUAACUCAAGGUUGACCUCGGAUCAGGUAGGAAUACCCGCUGAACUUAAGCAUAUCAAUAAGCGGAGG